Molecule: ribosomal RNA, 130 nt
Filed under: Salmonella enterica subsp. enterica serovar Typhimurium
Lineage: Bacteria; Pseudomonadati; Pseudomonadota; Gammaproteobacteria; Enterobacterales; Enterobacteriaceae
Description: partial 23S ribosomal RNA
Rfam family: Bacterial large subunit ribosomal RNA
Source: RNAcentral
CCCUGAUACUUAGACCCUCCGGAAGCAACGUUGAAGACGACGACGUUGAUAGGCCGGGUGUGUAAGCGCAGCGAUGCGUUGAGCUAACCGGUACUAAUGAACCGUGAGGCUUAACCUUACAACGCCGAAG